RNAcentral lists this unclassified non-coding RNA (243 nucleotides) under plant metagenome. Its description in RNAcentral is "partial contains small subunit ribosomal RNA, internal transcribed spacer 1, and 5.8S ribosomal RNA". The record is from RNAcentral.
UUUCCGUAGGUGAACCUGCGGAAGGAUCAUUACCGAGUGUCGGGCCCUCCUGGGUCCACCCUCCCACCCGUGUCUACCGUCCCUUGUUGCUUCGGCGGGCCCGCCCACUGGGGCGGCCAGGGGGCCCUCGCGCCCCCAGGUUCGCGCCCGCCGGAGACGUCCACGCGAACACCGUGUGAAGGUUGCCGUCUGAGUGGAUUUUUCCAAUCGUUAAAACUUUCAACAACGGAUCUCUUGGUUCCG